UACAGAGGUGGCAAGCGUUGUUCGGAAUUACUGGGCGUAAAGGGCGCGUAGGCGGCCUUCUAAGUCGGACGUGAAAUCCCCAGGCUUAACUUGGGAACUGCGUCCGAUACUGGAGGGCUUGAAUGCGGGAGAGGGAUGUGGAAUUCCAGGUGUAGCGGUGAAAUGCGUAGAUAUCUGGAGGAACACCGGUGGCGAAGGCGGCAUCCUGGACCGACAUUGACGCUGAGGCGCGAAAGCUAGGGGAGCAAACGGG
RNAcentral lists this ribosomal RNA (253 nucleotides) under uncultured bacterium. RNAcentral's name for it is "partial 16S ribosomal RNA". It matches the Rfam family "Bacterial small subunit ribosomal RNA", at positions 524 to 776 of the family's 1533-position model. The record is from RNAcentral.